ACGCACGCUGGCGGCGUGCCUAAUCCCUGCACGUAGAACGCUGAAGAGAGGAGCUUGCUCUUCUUGGAUGAGUUGCGAACGGGUGAGUAACGCGUAGGUAACCUGCCUUGUAGCGGGGGAUAACUAUUGGAAACGAUAGCUAAUACCGCAUAACAAUGGAUGACACAUGUCAUUUAUUUGAAAGGGGCAAUUGCUCCACUACAAGAUGGACCUGCGUCGUAUUAGCUAGUAGGUGAGGUAAUGGCUCACCUAGGCGACGAUACAUAGCCGACCUGAGAGGGUGAUCGGCCACACUGGGACUGAGACACGGCCCAGACUCCUACGGGAGGCAGCAGUAGGGAAUCUUCGGCAAUGGGGGCAACCCUGACCGAGCAACGCCGCGUGAGGGAAGAAGGUUUUCGGAUCGUAAAGCUCUGUUGUAAGUCAAGAACGGGGGUGAGAGUGGAAAGUUCACACUGUGACGGUAGCUUACCAGAAAGGGACGGCUAACUACGUG
Molecule: ribosomal RNA, 496 nt
Filed under: uncultured bacterium
Lineage: Bacteria
Description: partial 16S ribosomal RNA
Rfam family: Bacterial small subunit ribosomal RNA
Source: RNAcentral